UACGUAGGGUGCAAGCGUUAAUCGGAAUUACUGGGCGUAAAGCGUGCGCAGGCGGUUAUGCAAGACAGGUGUGAAAUCCCCGAGCUCAACUUGGGAACUGCACUUGUGACUGCAUAGCUAGAGUACGGUAGAGGGGAGUGGAAUUCCGCGUGUAGCAGUGAAAUGCGUAGAUAUGCGGAGGAACACCGAUGGCGAAGGCAGCUCCCUGGACCUGUACUGACGCUCAUGCACGAAAGCGUGGGGAGCAAACAGGAUUAGAUACCCUGGUAGUCCACGCCCUAAACGAUGUCAACUGGUUGUUGGGAGGGUUUCUUCUCAGUAACGAAGCUAACGCGUGAAGUUGACCGCCUGGGGAGUACGGCCGCAAGGUUG
RNAcentral lists this ribosomal RNA (372 nucleotides) under uncultured prokaryote. RNAcentral describes it as "bacterial SSU rRNA". It matches the Rfam family "Bacterial small subunit ribosomal RNA", at positions 524 to 896 of the family's 1533-position model. The record is from RNAcentral.